RNAcentral lists this unclassified non-coding RNA (329 nucleotides) under soil metagenome. RNAcentral describes it as "partial contains 5.8S ribosomal RNA, internal transcribed spacer 2, and large subunit ribosomal RNA". The stretch from base 1 to 120 matches the Rfam family "5.8S ribosomal RNA", at positions 35 to 154 of the family's 154-position model. The record is from RNAcentral.
GAUGAAGAACGUAGCGAAAUGCGAUAAGUAGUGUGAAUUGCAGAUUUUAGUGAAUCAUCGAAUUUUUGAACGCACAUUGCGCCCCUUGGUAUCCCGAGGGGCAUGCCUGUUCGAGCGUCAUUUCACCACUCAAGCCUGGCUUGGUGUUGGGCGACGUCCCCUUUGGGGACGCGCCUCGAAACGCUCGGCGGCGUGGCACCGGCUUUAAGCGUAGCAGAAUCUUUCGCUUUGGAAGUCGGGGCCCCGUCUGCCGGAAGACCUACUCGCAAGGUUGACCUCGGAUCAGGCAGGGAUACCCGCUGAACUUAAGCAUAUCAAUAAGCGGAGGA